GAUCGAAGAAAGAAGGUUUCCAUUCAGUCUCAUAAA
Molecule: small RNA, 36 nt
Filed under: Arabidopsis thaliana (thale cress)
Lineage: Eukaryota; Viridiplantae; Streptophyta; Magnoliopsida; Brassicales; Brassicaceae
Description: ATSL244800
Source: RNAcentral